RNAcentral lists this ribosomal RNA (747 nucleotides) under Limosilactobacillus fermentum. RNAcentral describes it as "bacterial SSU rRNA". It matches the Rfam family "Bacterial small subunit ribosomal RNA", at positions 26 to 729 of the family's 1533-position model. The record is from RNAcentral. Lineage: Bacteria; Bacillati; Bacillota; Bacilli; Lactobacillales; Lactobacillaceae.
AGGAUGAACGCCGGCGGUGUGCCUAAUACAUGCAAGUCGAACGCGUUGGCCCAAUUGAUUGAUGGUGCUUGCACCUGAUUGAUUUUGGUCGCCAACGAGUGGCGGACGGGUGAGUAACACGUAGGUAACCUGCCCAGAAGCGGGGGACAACAUUUGGAAACAGAUGCUAAUACCGCAUAACAGCGUUGUUCGCAUGAACAACGCUUAAAAGAUGGCUUCUCGCUAUCACUUCUGGAUGGACCUGCGGUGCAUUAGCUUGUUGGUGGGGUAAUGGCCUACCAAGGCGAUGAUGCAUAGCCGAGUUGAGAGACUGAUCGGCCACAAUGGGACUGAGACACGGCCCAUACUCCUACGGGAGGCAGCAGUAGGGAAUCUUCCACAAUGGGCGCAAGCCUGAUGGAGCAACACCGCGUGAGUGAAGAAGGGUUUCGGCUCGUAAAGCUCUGUUGUUAAAGAAGAACACGUAUGAGAGUAACUGUUCAUACGUUGACGGUAUUUAACCAGAAAGUCACGGCUAACUACGUGCCAGCAGCCGCGGUAAUACGUAGGUGGCAAGCGUUAUCCGGAUUUAUUGGGCGUAAAGAGAGUGCAGGCGGUUUUCUAAGUCUGAUGUGAAAGCCUUCGGCUUAACCGGAGAAGUGCAUCGGAAACUGGAUAACUUGAGUGCAGAAGAGGGUAGUGGAACUCCAUGUGUAGCGGUGGAAUGCGUAGAUAUAUGGAAGAACACCAGUGGCGAAGGCGGCUACC